AGAGUUUGAUCAUGGCUCAGGGCUAACGCUGGCGGCGUGUCUUAGCCAUGCAAGUCGAGCGGACUUAUGGGGUAACUUAUAAGUCAGCGGCGGACGGCGGAGUAACACGUAGCUAACCUACCCUCUGGACGGGGAUAACCUACCGAAAGGUGGGCUAAUACCCGAUGUAGUCAUCCUGUAUAGGGGUGAUGAAAGGUGGGCUUCUGUUUACAAGCUCAUGCUGGAGGAGGGGGCUGCGGCCUAUCAGGUAGUUGGUAGGGUAAUAGCCUACCAAGCCGAUGACGGGUAGCCGGCCUGAGAGGGUGACCGGCCCGAGGGGCACUGAGAUACGGGUCCCACUCCUACGGGAGGCAGCAGGCUAGAAAUUUGGGCAAUGGGGGAAACCCUGACCCAGUGACGCCGCGUGCAGGAAGGAGCCCUUCGGGGUGUAAACUGCUGUCGUGUAGGGAGAAGGGUACUAAGGUGAACAAUCUUAGUACUUGACGGUACUACAGGAGGAAGCCCAGGCUAACCUCGUGCCAGCAGCCGCGGUAAUACGGGGUGGGCGAGCGUUGCCCGGAAUUACUGGGUUUAAAGGGGGUGUAGGCGGUCUGGAUAGUCGGGUGUGUAAUGCAAUCGCUCAACGAUUGAGCUGCAUCUGAUACUUCCAGGCUAGAGGGCGGUAGAGGAGAGCGGAACUCCCGGUGUAGCGGUGAAAUGCGUAGAUAUCGGGAGGAACGCCGGUGGCGAAGGCGGCUCUCUGGGCCGUUCCUGACGCUGAGGCCCGAAAGCUGGGGGAGCGAAAGGGAUUAGAUACCCCUGUAGUCCCAGCCGUAAACGAUGGGCACUAGGUGUACCUUUUAACGGAGGUAUACCGUCGGGAAACCAAUAAGUGCCCCACCUGGGGAGUACGCCCGCAAGGGUGAAACUCAAAUGAAUUGACGG
Molecule: ribosomal RNA, 924 nt
Filed under: uncultured bacterium
Lineage: Bacteria
Also listed under: 6 other names
Description: bacterial SSU rRNA
Rfam family: Bacterial small subunit ribosomal RNA
Source: RNAcentral